Molecule: ribosomal RNA, 1369 nt
Filed under: uncultured bacterium
Lineage: Bacteria
Description: bacterial SSU rRNA
Rfam family: Bacterial small subunit ribosomal RNA
Source: RNAcentral
UCGCCCUUAGAGUUUGAUCCUGGCUCAAGACGAACGCUGGCGGCGCGCCUAACACAUGCAAGUCGAACGAGCGAGAGAGAGUUUACUUUUUCGAGCGAGUGGCGAACGGGUGAGUAACGCGUGAGGAACCUGCAUCAAAGAGGGGGGACAACAGUUGGAGACGACUGCUAAUACCGCAUAACCCCACGACCCGGCAUCGGGUAGAGGGAAAAGGAGCAAUCCGCUUUGAGAUGGCCUCGCGUCCGAUUAGCUAGUUGGUGAGGUAAUGGCCCACCAAGGCGACGAUCGGUAGCCGGACUGAGAGGUUGAACGGCCACAUUGGGACUGAGACACGGCCCACACUCCUACGGGAGGCAGCAGUGGGGAAUAUUGCACAAAUGGGGGAAACCCUGAUGCAGCGACGCCGCGUGGAGGAAGAAGGUCUUCGGAUUGUAAACUCCUGUUGUUGAGGAAGAUAAUGACGGUACUCAACAAGGAAGUGACGGCUAACUACGUGCCAGCAGCCGCGGUAAAACGUAGGUCACAAGCGUUGUCCGGAAUUACUGGGUGUAAAGGGAGCGCAGGCGGGAAGACAAGUUGGAAGUGAAAUCCAUGGGCUCAACCCAUGAACUGCUUUCAAAACUGUUUUUCUUGAGUAGUGCAGAGGUAGGCGGAAUUCCCGGUGUAGCGGUGGAAUGCGUAGAUAUCGGGAGGAACACCAGUGGCGAAGGCGGCCUACUGGGCACCAACUGACGCUGAGGCUCGAAAGUGUGGGUAGCAAACAGGAUUAGAUACCCUGGUAGUCCACACUGUAAACGAUGAUUACUAGGUGUUGGAGGAAUUGACCCCUUCAGUGCCGCAGUUAACACAAUAAGUAAUCCACCUGGGGAGUACGACCGCAAGGUUGGAACUCAAAGGAAUUGACGGGGGCCCGCACAAGCAGUGGAGUAUGUGGUUUAAUUUGACGCAACGCGAAGAACCUUACCAAGUCUUGACAUCCUGCGACGGUGCUGGAAACAGUGCUUUCCUUCGGGACGCAGAGACAGGUGGUGCAUGGUUGUCGUCAGCUCGUGUCGUGAGAUGUUGGGUUAAGUCCUGCAACGAGCGCAACCCUUAUGGUCAGUUACUACGCAAGAGGACUCUGGCCAGACUGCCGUUGACAAAACGGAGGAAGGUGGGGAUGACGUCAAAUCAUCAUGCCCUUUAUGACUUGGGCUACACACGUACUACAAUGGCGUUAAACAAAGAGAAGCAAGACCGCGAGGUGGAGCAAAACUCAGAAACAACGUCCCAGUUCGGACUGCAGGCUGCAACUCGCCUGCACGAAGUCGGAAUUGCUAGUAAUCGCGGAUCAGCAUGCCGCGGUGAAUACGUUCCCGGGCCUUGCACU